AAGUCGUAACAAGGUUUCCGUAGGUGAACCUGCGGAAGGAUCAUUACCGAACUUUACAAAAAAAAAUCGUAAAAGAUUUUUUGAUGCAAAAGCCCAUGCAUUUGUGAAAAGUCAAUUUUUAUGAUUGACCGAGUAACUUGUUGGUGCUUUUUGCUUUUGCAAGUCUGUCGAACAGUGUGUGACUGAUACUUGCAACGUGGACAAUGACCAUUGAUGUCGGACACGUUAAACGAUGUGAGAAAGUAUUCAAAUGUUUCACAUCACUCUUGCUUUUCUCAGUAUUCGUACUGGGAAUCGCAAAGCUUUUGUAAAUGUAAAUUAUCAUACAAAACCAAAAAUUUAAAAAAAAUAUCAACCUCGAGUGGUGGAUCACUCGGCUCGUGG
This 384-nucleotide unclassified non-coding RNA is filed under the name fungal sp. RNAcentral's name for it is "partial internal transcribed spacer region". The stretch from base 1 to 46 matches the Rfam family "Eukaryotic small subunit ribosomal RNA", at positions 1786 to 1831 of the family's 1831-position model. Lineage: Eukaryota; Fungi. The record is from RNAcentral.